UAGGUUAUGGGAAGGUUCGUGCCAACUGGGUUACCGUAAUAAUUUUAGGGGUUAUACAGGGGCCUCACCUGGACUUAAAAGAAGAGGUGGAUUUCCUAGAUGGAAACCAAUGGGGGGCAACCCGGCCUCAGGAGGUUUAUAAUGACUUUAGGAUAGAUAUUCGGAGAGAUGCAUCAUUCAAGGUUAUGCCCUAUCAAUUUCCGGAAGUAGGGUUUUGGCCCACCAGUGUCCAUACGGGAAAUGGAGAAUUUGGGAUAGAUUCCGGAGAGGGAGCCUGAGAAACGGCUACCACUACCAAGGGAGGCCACAGGGGCGGAAACUUCCCAAUCCCUACACAGGGAGGUAGGGGCCAUUAACAACUAUGCCGGGUUUAUUUAAUUUUAGCAAGUCGAACAAGGGCAAAUUUAAUACCCUAGCGUGGAUCAAUUGGAGGG
RNAcentral lists this ribosomal RNA (434 nucleotides) under uncultured eukaryote. RNAcentral describes it as "bacterial SSU rRNA". It matches the Rfam family "Eukaryotic small subunit ribosomal RNA", at positions 113 to 555 of the family's 1831-position model. The record is from RNAcentral.